UACAGAGGGUGCGAGCGUUAAUCGGAAUUACUGGGCGUAAAGCGCGCGUAGGCGGCUUUGCAAGUCGGGUGUGAAAUCCCCAGGCUUAACCUGGGAACUGCAUUCGAGACUGCAUUGCUAGAGUAUGGGAGAGGGCAGUGGAAUUUCCGGUGUAGCGGUGAAAUGCGUAGAUAUCGGAAGGAACAUCAGUGGCGAAAGCGACUUCCUGGACCAAUACUGACGCUCAUGUGCGAAAGCGUGGGGAGCAAACAGG
Molecule: ribosomal RNA, 253 nt
Filed under: uncultured bacterium
Lineage: Bacteria
Description: partial 16S ribosomal RNA
Rfam family: Bacterial small subunit ribosomal RNA
Source: RNAcentral